Molecule: transfer RNA, 81 nt
Filed under: Pholiota conissans
Lineage: Eukaryota; Fungi; Basidiomycota; Agaricomycetes; Agaricales; Strophariaceae
Rfam family: tRNA
About the family: Transfer RNA (tRNA) molecules are approximately 80 nucleotides in length. Their secondary structure includes four short double-helical elements and three loops (D, anti-codon, and T loops). Further hydrogen bonds mediate the characteristic L-shaped molecular structure. tRNAs have two regions of fundamental functional importance: the anti-codon, which is responsible for specific mRNA codon recognition, and the 3' end, to which the tRNAs corresponding amino acid is attached (by aminoacyl-tRNA synthetases). tRNAs cope with the degeneracy of the genetic code in two manners: having more than one tRNA (with a specific anti-codon) for a particular amino acid; and 'wobble' base-pairing, i.e. permitting non-standard base-pairing at the 3rd anti-codon position.
Source: Rfam by way of RNAcentral
GGCCGUGUGGCGAAAUGGCAUCGCGUCUGACUACGACUCAGUGCGAUCAGGAGAUUGCAGGUUCGACCCCUGUCUCGGUCA